GACGAACGCUGGCGGCGUGCUUAACACAUGCAAGUCGAACGAAGAGCGAUGGAAGCUUGCUUCUAUCAAUCUUAGUGGCGCACGGGUGAGUAACGCGUAAUCAACCUGCCUUUCAGAGGGGGACAACAGUUGGAAACGACUGCUAAUACCGCAUACGAUCUGACCUCGGCAUCGAGGAUAGAUGAAAGGUGGCCUCUAUUUAUAAGCUAUCACUGACGGAGGGGAUUGCGUCUGAUUAGCUAGUUGGAGGGGUAACGGCCCACCAAGGCGAUGAUCAGUAGCCGGUCUGAGAGGAUGAACGGCCACAUUGGGACUGAGACACGGCCCAGACUCCUACGGGAGGCAGCAGUGGGGAAUCUUCCGCAAUGGACGAAAGUCUGACGGAGCAACGCCGCGGGAGUGAUGACGGCCUUCGGGUUGGAAAGCUCUGUUAAUCGGGACGAAAGGCCUUCUUGCGAAUAGUUAGAAGGAUUGACGGUACCGGAAGAGAAAGCCACGGCUAACUACGUG
This 510-nucleotide ribosomal RNA is filed under the name uncultured bacterium. RNAcentral describes it as "partial 16S ribosomal RNA". It matches the Rfam family "Bacterial small subunit ribosomal RNA", at positions 28 to 507 of the family's 1533-position model. The record is from RNAcentral.